This 494-nucleotide ribosomal RNA is filed under the name uncultured bacterium. RNAcentral describes it as "partial 16S ribosomal RNA". It matches the Rfam family "Bacterial small subunit ribosomal RNA", at positions 28 to 507 of the family's 1533-position model. The record is from RNAcentral.
GACGAACGCUGGCGGCGCGCUUAACACAUGCAAGUCGAACGGAAAGGCCUGCUUUCCCUUGUGGAUUGCGGGUACUCGAGUGGCGAACGGGUGAGUAACACGUGAGUGAUCUGCCCCCAACUUGGGUAUAAGCCUGGGAAACUGGGUCUAAUUCCCGAUAGGACUGCAGGGUGGUGCCUGUGGUGGAAAACGAUUUUCUAGUGGUUGGGGAUGAGCUCGCGGCCUAUCAGCUUGUUGGUGGGGUAAUGGCCUACCAAGGCGGCGACGGGUAGCCGGCCUGAGAGGGUGGACGGCCACAUUGGGACUGAGAUACGGCCCAGACUCCUACGGGAGGCAGCAGUGGGGAAUAUUGCACAAUGGGCGGAAACCUGAUGCAGCGACGCCGCGUGGGGGAUGACGGCCUUCGGGUUGUAAACUCCUUUCGACCGCGAGGAAGCCACCUGGUUGGAAGGGUGGUGACGGUAGUGGUAGAAGAAGCACCGGCUAACUACGUG